ACUGGUGGAGGUGACCCGUUACCAUGACAACCCAGACUGGUGGAGGUAACCCGUUACCAUGUAGACCCAGACUGGUGGAGGUAACCCGUUACCAUGUAGACCCAGACUGGUGGAGGUGACCCGUUACCAUGACAACCCAGACUGGUGGAGGUAACCCGUUACCAUGACAACCCAGACUGGUGGAGGUGACCCGUUACCAUGACAACCCAGACUGGUGGAGGUAACCCGUUACCAUGUAGACCCAGACUGGUGGAGGUAACCCGUUACCAUGUAGACCCAGACUGGUGGAGGUGACCCGUUACCAUGACAACCCAGACUGGUGGAGGUGACCCGUUACCAUGACAACCCAGACUGGUGGAGGUGACCCGUUACCAUGACAACCCAGACUGGUGGAGGUGACCCGUUACCAUGACAACCCAGACUGGUGGAGGUAACCCGUUACCAUGUAGACCCAGACUGGUGGAGGUGACCCGUUACCAUGACAACCCAGACUGGUGGAGAUGACCCGUUACCAUGACAACCCAGACUGGUGGAGGUGACCUGUUACCAUGACAACCCAGACUGGUGGAGGUGACCCGUUACCAUGUAGACCCAGACUGGUGGAGGUGACCCAUUACCAUGACAACCCAGACUGGUGGAGGUGACCCGUUACCAUGUAGACCCAGACUGGUGGAGGUGACCUGUUACCAUGACAACCCAGACUGGUGGAGGUGACCCGUUACCAUGUAGACCCAGACUGGUGGAGGUGACCCAUUACCAUGACAACCCAGACUGGUGGAGGUGACCCGUUACCAUGACAACCCAGACUGGUGGAGGUGACCCGUUACCAUGUAGACCCAGACUGGUGGAGGGGACC
RNAcentral lists this long non-coding RNA (856 nucleotides) under Salmo salar (Atlantic salmon). Its description in RNAcentral is "lncRNA (ENSSSAG00000101558.1)". The record is from RNAcentral. Lineage: Eukaryota; Metazoa; Chordata; Actinopteri; Salmoniformes; Salmonidae.